GAUGAACGCUGGCGGCGUGCCUAAUACAUGCAAGUCGAGCGAACAGACGAGGAGCUUGCUCUUCUGACGUUAGCGGCGGACGGGUGAGUAACACGUGGAUAACCUACCUAUAAGACGGGGAUAACUUCGGGAAACCGGAGCUAAUACCGCAUAAUAUAUUGUACCGCAUGGUUCAAUAGUGAAAGACGGUUUUGCUGUCACUUAUAGAUGGAUCCGCGUCGCAUUAGUUAGUUGGUAAGGUAACGGCUUACCAAGGCAACGAUGCGUAGCCGACCUGAGAGGGUGAUCGGCCACACUGGAACUGAGACACGGUCCAGACUCCUACGGGAGGCAGCAGUGGGGAAUCUUCGGCAAUGGGCGAAAGCUUGACGGAGCAACGCCGCGUGAGUGAUGAAGGUCUUCGGAUCGUAAAACUCUGUUAUUGGGGAAGAACAAAUGUGGAAGUAACUAUGCACGUCUUGACGGUACCUAAUCAGAAAGCCACGGCUAACUACGUG
RNAcentral lists this ribosomal RNA (497 nucleotides) under uncultured bacterium. RNAcentral's name for it is "partial 16S ribosomal RNA". It matches the Rfam family "Bacterial small subunit ribosomal RNA", at positions 28 to 507 of the family's 1533-position model. The record is from RNAcentral.